CUCUCUCUCUCUCUUUUCCCCCCUUUGGUCAUUUGUUUCUUAAAUGCCACAUAUGAGUAAAAUCAUAUGGUAUUUGUCUUUAUCUGACUGAUUUCACUUAGUAUUAUAUUCUCCAGCUCUGUCCAUGUUGUUGCAAAGGGCAAGAUAUCAUUCCUUUUAACAGUUGAUAAAUAUUUUUUAUUUUUAUCAAGAAAGGGCAAAACAAAUUAUGUUCCCUCAGUACAUUUGGUCUCUCCUCUCCACCUUACAAAUCAGAUUCUGAUUCUCACUGAAUUGUGUGCGAUCCAGACGAAGGUUUGUUACUAUUUGCUACUUUAUUAAAUGCUUCAUCAUGAGGUCUUCAUGUGUUUUCCGACCGCUAAAUUUCACCAGAGCAAACCCACAAUUUACUUCAAAACCAUCACAAGAGUUUGCUGGCCUUGACCUCUUGAUCAUUUGUUUGAGAUUUUUAUACUAACCACACAUUUCUGGGUAAGUGAGCACACAUAUCCAUGCAUUUCUGCAAUAUUAUGGUAAAAGUCUUGGUCAAGUUGUUUUCAGAGGGGGUGGGGAAGCUGUAUUUUUAGUAUUCAAGUGACCCCUGGGUCCUGGGUAAAAUGCAGAUUGCAAAAAAGAAGACAUGACCAAUCCUGGAACUUUGGCCUUUGGCCCAGAAAUAUAUCUUGAUGGGUGUCUGGCCGAAUUUCCACAGCAAUUCUUAGCACAAUAAAACUGACAACCAUGAGCUUUUCUCAAAUGUUUACACUGUAGUUUCUUAACAACAUGUGAACACAAUUGAAGCAUUUAGAAAUAAUCUCUGGAUUCUCGAAAUUCGCAAACAUUGGUCUGACCUUGAAGAAAGGGGUAGACAAGGAAUUUGGAAUUCCUAGCCUGGAAUAACUGAAUUAAGUGAGAAUAAGAUGUCACCUCCUCGAGGACAACUCGAUCCUUUUCAUCACGACUAGCCUCUUCAUGUUUGUUGGGACACAUAUGGAGGAGAAUUACUUAAUCCGACUGAUAACCCAGAAGGAACUUGCAAAUACUCCUGUGUUGUUGUGAAGUCCCUCAGCCUCAACCUUGCCUAUGGCUGUUGGUCGUGAUGCAGCGGUCUGACACCUUGGCUUCCGAGCCAAGCUCCACGGGGCGCUCAGUAUGGACGACGAACUGGGUUCCUUUAGACAAGUCAGUGUCUUAUCAGUUCUGUUCCUCUGGAGAAGCCCGACUCAUGCCAAGGUGGAGGCGCCUAAGAAUCAUCUCAAGGUUAUUGUUGAAGGUGAGCUGGAUCCAGUCUACUGCUCUCCCAGAGCAAAGGAAACAAGAAAAAUUAGAACGUCACAGGUGGAAACAACAUAGAGAGUGUUUUCCGUUUCCCUCAACAUCCCUCGUCUAUUCCAGUCAUUCUGCUUGUAUGAAGAGGACUUACAGGUUCCCAAACAGAGUGUUUCUUCAUGUUCUGGAAAGGAUCCAUUCUCGUAACAGCAGCCACUGAAAACGACAGCUCAGGAAACCUAGUGCGCACUUGUAGUCAAAAUCGAAGGACGGUAAUAGCAAACCACGACGAACUACUCCUCAUUCUCUGUGCGAUAAAUGUAACUCAUACAUGAUCUCAUUUGGCCUCCAUCACAACAAUGCACAGCAGCUGUGAUUUCUCCCAUUUUAUUUUAUUUCACUCUUUUAUUUUAAAUUUUUUAAAAAUGUUUUUAUUUAUUUUUGAAGGUGAGAGAGACAGAGCAUGAGCAGGGGAAGAGCAGAGAAUGAGGGAGACAUAGAAUUGGAAGCAGACUCCAGGCUUUAAGCUGUCAGCACAGAGCCCGACACGGGGCUCGAACUCACGAACUGUGAGAUCAUGACCUGAGCCAAAGUUGGGUGCUUAACCGACUGAGCCACCCAGGCGCCCCACAUUCUAUUUUAUUUUAGAGAAAGAGCAUGCAAAUUAGCAGGGGAGAGGAGCAGAGAGAGACAGUCUCUGAAACAGGCUCCAUGCCUGUCUUGGAGCCUAGUGGGGCUCCAUCCCACAACCCUGGGACUAUCACCUGAGCCAGAAUCAAGAAUCGAACACUCAACCCACCGAGCCACCCAGGUGCCCCUAUUUCUCCUGUUUUAAAAACAAGGAAACUGAAGUUCAUAAAGUUUCUGGUCAAAGCUUGCUAGAAGGGUGUGUUGACCCAGCCCUAGGGGACACACAGACGGAAAAACUAACGUCCACUACACGGAAGGAACUUUGUCUGGAGAAGUGAACUAAGAUUGCCAGGCAAGCGAGAACCACUGCACAGGCCAGAGAAGACAGAAGCUGUCACCAGAAGUCGGGCCGGUCACGCCUGGGGAAUCCCACACGGAUAUUUCAUAUCGUGGGCACCCAUUUAUGAGAGCAGGAUGGGGCGGUGGAGAGGCAGCAAUUUGACUCUGGGGCCGGACCCUGGGCUCCAGUCUGAGCUCUAACAUGACUGCCCUUCAAUCUGGGAAAUUCCUCUUCUCUAGGCCUAUGUCUCCCUACCUAUAAAAGGCAAUUAGAUUAGAAAAUCUUGGAGUUUUGCAAAGAUUGUGCAAACCUCUCUGUAAAACACGACCCCAAGCUCGGUUUUUGUGGCUUUCUCAAAAAGAAAAAUACAGAUUUGUUGUGCAAGUG
Long non-coding RNA from Neofelis nebulosa (Clouded leopard), 2605 nucleotides. RefSeq lists it as uncharacterized. The record is from RefSeq and is a predicted model, not a curated record. NCBI's taxonomy places the organism in Eukaryota, Metazoa, Chordata, Mammalia, Carnivora, Felidae. The transcript is spliced from 3 exons.